RNAcentral lists this ribosomal RNA (1484 nucleotides) under Lactiplantibacillus plantarum. RNAcentral's name for it is "bacterial SSU rRNA". It matches the Rfam family "Bacterial small subunit ribosomal RNA". Lineage: Bacteria; Bacillati; Bacillota; Bacilli; Lactobacillales; Lactobacillaceae. The record is from RNAcentral.
AACGCUUGGCGGCGUGCCUAAUACAUGCAAGUCGAACGAACUCUGGUAUUGAUUGGUGCUUGCAUCAUGAUUUACAUUUGAGUGAGUGGCGAACUGGUGAGUAACACGUGGGAAACCUGCCCAGAAGCGGGGGAUAACACCUGGAAACAGAUGCUAAUACCGCAUAACAACUUGGACCGCAUGGUCCGAGUUUGAAAGAUGGCUUCGGCUAUCACUUUUGGAUGGUCCCGCGGCGUAUUAGCUAGAUGGUGGGGUAACGGCUCACCAUGGCAAUGAUACGUAGCCGACCUGAGAGGGUAAUCGGCCACAUUGGGACUGAGACACGGCCCAAACUCCUACGGGAGGCAGCAGUAGGGAAUCUUCCACAAUGGACGAAAGUCUGAUGGAGCAACGCCGCGUGAGUGAAGAAGGGUUUCGGCUCGUAAAACUCUGUUGUUAAAGAAGAACAUAUCUGAGAGUAACUGUUCAGGUAUUGACGGUAUUUAACCAGAAAGCCACGGCUAACUACGUGCCAGCAGCCGCGGUAAUACGUAGGUGGCAAGCGUUGUCCGGAUUUAUUGGGCGUAAAGCGAGCGCAGGCGGUUUUUUAAGUCUGAUGUGAAAGCCUUCGGCUCAACCGAAGAAGUGCAUCGGAAACUGGGAAACUUGAGUGCAGAAGAGGACAGUGGAACUCCAUGUGUAGCGGUGAAAUGCGUAGAUAUAUGGAAGAACACCAGUGGCGAAGGCGGCUGUCUGGUCUGUAACUGACGCUGAGGCUCGAAAGUAUGGGUAGCAAACAGGAUUAGAUACCCUGGUAGUCCAUACCGUAAACGAUGAAUGCUAAGUGUUGGAGGGUUUCCGCCCUUCAGUGCUGCAGCUAACGCAUUAAGCAUUCCGCCUGGGGAGUACGGCCGCAAGGCUGAAACUCAAAGGAAUUGACGGGGGCCCGCACAAGCGGUGGAGCAUGUGGUUUAAUUCGAAGCUACGCGAAGAACCUUACCAGGUCUUGACAUACUAUGCAAAUCUAAGAGAUUAGACGUUCCCUUCGGGGACAUGGAUACAGGUGGUGCAUGGUUGUCGUCAGCUCGUGUCGUGAGAUGUUGGGUUAAGUCCCGCAACGAGCGCAACCCUUAUUAUCAGUUGCCAGCAUUAAGUUGGGCACUCUGGUGAGACUGCCGGUGACAAACCGGAGGAAGGUGGGGAUGACGUCAAAUCAUCAUGCCCCUUAUGACCUGGGCUACACACGUGCUACAAUGGAUGGUACAACGAGUUGCGAACUCGCGAGAGUAAGCUAAUCUCUUAAAGCCAUUCUCAGUUCGGAUUGUAGGCUGCAACUCGCCUACAUGAAGUCGGAAUCGCUAGUAAUCGCGGAUCAGCAUGCCGCGGUGAAUACGUUCCCGGGCCUUGUACACACCGCCCGUCACACCAUGAGAGUUUGUAACACCCAAAGUCGGUGGGGUAACCUUUUAGGAACCAGCCGCCUAAGGUGGGACAGAUGAUUAGGG